AUUGAACGCUGGCGGCAGGCCUAACACAUGCAAGUCGAGCGGGUGAAGGGAGCUUGCUCCUGGAUUCAGCGGCGGACGGGUGAGUAAUGCCUAGGAAUCUGCCUGGUAGUGGGGGAUAACGUCCGGAAACGGGCGCUAAUACCGCAUACGUCCUGAGGGAGAAAGUGGGGGAUCUUCGGACCUCACGCUAUCAGAUGAGCCUAGGUCGGAUUAGCUAGUUGGUGGGGUAAAGGCCUACCAAGGCGACGAUCCGUAACUGGUCUGAGAGGAUGAUCAGUCACACUGGAACUGAGACACGGUCCAGACUCCUACGGGAGGCAGCAGUGGGGAAUAUUGGACACUGGGCGAAAGCCUGAUCCAGCCAUGCCGAGUGUGUGAAGAAGGUCUUCGGAUUGUAAAGCACUUUAAGUUGGGAGGAAGGGCAGUAAGUUAAUACCUUGCUGUUUUGACGUUACCAACAGAAUAAGCACCGGCUAACUUCGUG
This 484-nucleotide ribosomal RNA is filed under the name uncultured bacterium. RNAcentral describes it as "partial 16S ribosomal RNA". It matches the Rfam family "Bacterial small subunit ribosomal RNA", at positions 30 to 507 of the family's 1533-position model. The record is from RNAcentral.